AACGAACGCUGGCGGCGUGCCUAACACAUGCAAGUCGAACGGUAACGGGCCUUCGGGUGCCGACGAGUGGCGAACGGGUGAGUAAUGCAUCGGAACGUACCUUUCAGUGGGGGAUAACGUAGCGAAAGUUACGCUAAUACCGCAUAUUCUGUGCGCAGGAAAGCAGGGGAUCGCAAGACCUUGCGCUGAUUGAGCGGCCGAUGUCAGAUUAGCUAGUUGGUGAGGUAAAGGCUCACCAAGGCGACGAUCUGUAGCGGGUCUGAGAGGAUGAUCCGCCACACUGGAACUGAGACACGGUCCAGACUCCUACGGGAGGCAGCAGUGGGGAAUUUUGGACAAUGGGGGCAACCCUGAUCCAGCCAUGCCGCGUGAGUGAAGAAGGCCUUCGG
RNAcentral lists this ribosomal RNA (389 nucleotides) under uncultured bacterium. Its description in RNAcentral is "bacterial SSU rRNA". It matches the Rfam family "Bacterial small subunit ribosomal RNA", at positions 29 to 421 of the family's 1533-position model. The record is from RNAcentral.